CCUACGGGAGGCUGCAGUCGAGAAUCUUCCCCAAUGGCCGAAAGGCUGAGGGAGCGACGCCGCGUGCAGGAAGAAUCCCUUCGGGGUGUAAACUGCUUUUCUUGGGGACUAACUCUGAAUGUACCCAAGGAAUAAGGGGCUGCUAACUUCGUGCCAGCAGCAGCGGUAAUACGAAGGCCCCAAGCGUUAUCCGGAUUUAUUGGGCGUAAAGAGUUCAAAGGCGGCUUCGUAAGUCUUUGGUCAAAUCCGGCGGCUCAACCGUCGGUCGGCUGGAGAAACUGCGAGGCUUGAGGCUGGGAGAGGUGAGCGGAACUAUCGGUGUAGCGGUAAAAUGCGUUCAUAUCGAUAGGAACACCAAAGGCGAAGGCAGCUCACUGGAACAGUCCUGACGCUAUCGAACGAAAGCGUGGGGAGCGAAUGGGAUUAGAUACCCGAGUAGU
Molecule: ribosomal RNA, 440 nt
Filed under: uncultured bacterium
Lineage: Bacteria
Description: bacterial SSU rRNA
Rfam family: Bacterial small subunit ribosomal RNA
Source: RNAcentral